This 385-nucleotide unclassified non-coding RNA is filed under the name Clematis aristata. RNAcentral's name for it is "partial miscellaneous RNA". The record is from RNAcentral. Lineage: Eukaryota; Viridiplantae; Streptophyta; Magnoliopsida; Ranunculales; Ranunculaceae.
UCUAGAUCUAGCGGCUGUUGAAGUUCCAUCUACAAAUGGCUAAGACUUAGGUCUUAGUGUAUGCUAGUCUUAGUGUAUAUGAGUCGUUGAAGUUGCAGGAGUAAUACCCCAAUUCUUGUUCUCUCAAGAGGCCGGGCAUUGCUCCUGCGUUUUGUUUUAAUAGUGUUUUAUUUGCAUUUUUCAUAAUGAUUUUUUCUUUUUUUUUGAAGUAAUUCAAUUUGAAGUAAAAAAAAAAAAAAUGACUCGAAKGGAGGAUUGGUUGGCGAAUUCUUGAUUAUCAUACUCUCGUUCUGUACAUAUAUAAACCAAUCCAAUAUAAUAUGUUCCUAACAAUUUUGAAACAAUUUAUUUGAGAAAGCGGAGGGGCGGAUGUAGCCAAGUGGAU